GACGAACGCUGGCGGCGUGCCUAAUACAUGCAAGUCGAACGCUGAAGGAGGAGCUUGCUUCUCCGGAUGAGUUGCGAACGGGUGAGUAACGCGUAGGUAACCUGCCUCGUAGCGGGGGAUAACUAUUGGAAACGAUAGCUAAUACCGCAUAAGAGUAGAUGUCGCAUGACAUUUGCUUAAAAGUUGCAACUGCACCACUACCAGAUGGACCUGCGUUGUAUUAGCUAGUUGGUGAGGCAACGGCUGACCAAGGCAACGAUACAUAGCCGACCGGGGAGGGGGGUCGGCCACACUGGGACUGAGACAGGGCCCAGAGGCCUGCGGGAGGCAGCAGUAGGGAAUCUUCGGCAAUGGACGGAAGUAUGACCGAGCAACGCCGCGGGAGUGAAGAAGGGUUUCGGAUCGGAAAGAUCGGUUGUAAGAGAAGAACGAGUGUGGGAGUGGAAAGUUCACACUGUGACGGUAUCUAAACAGAAAGGGACGGCUAACUACGUG
Molecule: ribosomal RNA, 495 nt
Filed under: uncultured bacterium
Lineage: Bacteria
Description: partial 16S ribosomal RNA
Rfam family: Bacterial small subunit ribosomal RNA
Source: RNAcentral